This 29-nucleotide small RNA is filed under the name Bombyx mori (domestic silkworm). Its description in RNAcentral is "ovarian small RNA-36766". Lineage: Eukaryota; Metazoa; Arthropoda; Insecta; Lepidoptera; Bombycidae. The record is from RNAcentral.
UUAGUUCCUCUGGGCCACUGAAGCCCUAC